GACGAACGCUGGCGGCGUGCUUAACACAUGCAAGUCGAACGAAGUGGCGAACGGGUGAGUAACGCGUAAUCAACCUGCCCUUCAGAGGGGGACAACAGUUGGAAACGACUGCUAAUACCGCAUACUGAAGGUGGGGAUUGCGUCUGAUUAGCUAGUUGGAGGGGUAACGGGCCACCAAGGCGAUGAUCAGUAGCAGGGCUGCGGAGGUGAACGGCCACAUUGGGAAUGAGAAACGGCCCAGACUCCUACAGGAGGCAGCAGUGGGGAAGCUUCCGAAAUGGACGAAAGUCUGACGGAGCAACGCCGCGUGAGUGAUGACGGCCUUCGGGUUGUAAAACUCUGUUAAUCGGGACGCGGUACCGGAAUAGAAAGCCACGGCUAACUACGUGCCAGCAGCCGCGGUAAUAC
Molecule: ribosomal RNA, 408 nt
Filed under: uncultured bacterium
Lineage: Bacteria
Description: partial 16S ribosomal RNA
Rfam family: Bacterial small subunit ribosomal RNA
Source: RNAcentral